Molecule: ribosomal RNA, 497 nt
Filed under: uncultured bacterium
Lineage: Bacteria
Description: partial 16S ribosomal RNA
Rfam family: Bacterial small subunit ribosomal RNA
Source: RNAcentral
GAUGAACGCUGGCGGCGUGCCUAAUACAUGCAAGUCGAGCGAACAGACGAGGCGCUUGCUCCUCUGACGUUAGCGGCGGACGGGUGUGUCACACGUGGAUAACCUCCCUAUAAGACUGGGAUCACUUCGGGAAACCGGAGCUAAUACCGGAUAAUAUAUUGAACCGCAUGGUUCAAUAGUGAAAGACGGUUUUGCUGUCACUUCUCGAUGGAUCCGCGCCGCAUUAGCUGGUUGGUUAGGUAACGGCUUACCACGGCAACUAUGCGUAGCCGACCUGCGAGGGGGGUCGGCCACACUGGAAGUGAGACACGGUCCAGAAGACUGCGGGAGGCAGCAGUAGGGAAUCUUCCGCAAUGGGCGAAAGCCUGACGGAGCAACGCCGCGUGAGUGAUGAAGGUCUUCGGAUCGUAAAACUCUGUUAUGAGGGAAGAACAAAUGUGUAAGGAGCUAUGCACGGCUUGACGGUACCGAAUCAGAAAGCCACGGCUAACUACGUG